CACGUAGGGUGCGAGCGUUGUCCGGAAUUAUUGGGCGUAAAGAGCUCGUAGGCGGUGUGUCGCGUCGGCCGUGAAAACUUGCAGCUUAACUGUGGGCGUGCGGUCGAUACGGGCAUCACUGGAGUUCGGCAGGGGAGACUGGAAUUCCUGGUGUAGCGGUGAAAUGCGCAGAUAUCAGGAGGAACACCGGUGGCGAAGGCGGGUCUCUGGGCCGAUACCGACGCUGAGGAGCGAAAGCGUGGGGAGCGAACAGG
Molecule: ribosomal RNA, 254 nt
Filed under: uncultured bacterium
Lineage: Bacteria
Description: partial 16S ribosomal RNA
Rfam family: Bacterial small subunit ribosomal RNA
Source: RNAcentral